GACGAACGCUGGCGGCGUGCUUAACACAUGCAAGUCGAACGGAAAGGCCCUGCUUUUGUGGGGUGCUCGAGUGGCGAACGGGUGAGUAACACGUGAGUAACCUGCCCUUGACUUUGGGAUAAUUUCAGGAAACUGGGGCUAAUACCGGAUAGGAGCUCCUGCUGCAUGGUGGGGGUUGGAAAGUUUCGGCGGUUGGGGAUGGACUCGCGGCUUAUCAGCUUGCUGGUGGGGUAGUGGCUUACCAAGGCUUUGACGGGUAGCCGGCCUGAGAGGGUGACCGGCCACAUUGGGACUGAGAUACGGCCCAGACUCCUACGGGAGGCAGCAGUGGGGAAUAUUGCACAAUGGGCGGAAGCCUGAUGCAGGAACGCCGCGUGCGGGAUGACGGCCUUCGGGUUGUAAACCGCUUUCGCCUGUGACGAAGCGUGAGUGACGGUAAUGGGUAAAGAAGCACCGGCUAACUACGUG
RNAcentral lists this ribosomal RNA (468 nucleotides) under uncultured bacterium. RNAcentral describes it as "partial 16S ribosomal RNA". It matches the Rfam family "Bacterial small subunit ribosomal RNA", at positions 28 to 507 of the family's 1533-position model. The record is from RNAcentral.